GAUGAACGCUGGCGGCGUGCCUAAUACAUGCAAGUCGAGCGAACGGACGAGAAGCUUGCUUCUCUGAUGUUAGCGGCGGACGGGUGAGUAACACGUGGAUAACCUACCUAUAAGACUGGGAUAACUUCGGGAAACCGGAGCUAAUACCGGAUGAUAUUUUGAACCGCAUGGUUCAAAAGUGAAAGACGGUCUUGCUGUCACUUAUAGAUGGAUCCGCGCUGCAUUAGCUAGUUGGUAAGGUAACGGCUUACCAAGGCAACGAUGCAUAGCCGACCUGAGAGGGUGAUCGGCCACACUGGAACGGAGACACGGUCCAGACUCCUACGGGAGGCAGCAGUAGGGAAUCUUCCGCAAUGGGCGAAAGCCUGACGGAGCAACGCCGCGUGAGUGAUGAAGGUCUUCGGAUCGUAAAACUCUGUUAUUAGGGAGGAACAUAUGUGUAAGUAACUGUGCACAUCUUGACGGUACCUAAUCAGAAAGCCACGGCUAACUACGUG
Molecule: ribosomal RNA, 497 nt
Filed under: uncultured bacterium
Lineage: Bacteria
Description: partial 16S ribosomal RNA
Rfam family: Bacterial small subunit ribosomal RNA
Source: RNAcentral